Molecule: ribosomal RNA, 394 nt
Filed under: uncultured Gammaproteobacteria bacterium
Lineage: Bacteria; Pseudomonadati; Pseudomonadota; Gammaproteobacteria
Description: bacterial SSU rRNA
Rfam family: Bacterial small subunit ribosomal RNA
Source: RNAcentral
AAUGGGCGAAAGCCUGGCGGAGCAACGCCGCGUGAGGGAUGAAGGCCUCUGGGCUGUAAACCUCUUUUAUCAAGGAAGAAGAUCUGACGGUACUUGAUGAAUAAGCCACGGCUAAUUCCGUGCCAGCAGCCGCGGUAAUACGGGAGUGGCAAGCGUUAUCCGGAAUUAUUGGGCGUAAAGCGUCCGCAGGCGGCCUUUCAAGUCUGCUGUUAAAAAGUGGAGCUUAACUCCAUCAUGGCAGUGGAAACUGUUGGGCUUGAGUGUGGUAGGGGCAGAGGGAAUUCCCGGUGUAGCGGUGAAAUGCGUAGAUAUCGGGAAGAACACCAGUGGCGAAGGCGCUCUGCUGGGCCAUCACUGACGCUCAUGGACGAAAGCCAGGGGAGCGAAAGGGAUU